AUGCAAAUUUAUGAUGUUGCUAAAAAAUUAUUCCCCUGUAGCAGGUCACAUUCUUAUUUGAAGACUUUACAAUUUUGCAGCAAGCUCCUCUUGAUAAAAGAUUGCAUUUUUAGAUGUUUGCACAAUAUUGCAAUCCCUGCCUACCAAACAAUUGUUUCGUAUGGAGAGGAUUGUGAUUGGAGGGGUUUGUGGGUUUCAAGUGGAUUUGAGGGGAUUGAGUCAAAAAGGGGAUUCACCGAAUCCCCUCCUCUCCAAACCUCUCAAAUCCACUUCUACCAAACAAAGACUGAAAGAUAUGGUGAUAUCUGA
Molecule: ribosomal RNA, 309 nt
Filed under: Triticum aestivum (bread wheat)
Lineage: Eukaryota; Viridiplantae; Streptophyta; Magnoliopsida; Poales; Poaceae
Description: partial small subunit ribosomal RNA
Source: RNAcentral